RNAcentral lists this ribosomal RNA (735 nucleotides) under uncultured Fusobacterium sp. RNAcentral's name for it is "bacterial SSU rRNA". It matches the Rfam family "Bacterial small subunit ribosomal RNA", at positions 28 to 776 of the family's 1533-position model. Lineage: Bacteria; Fusobacteriati; Fusobacteriota; Fusobacteriia; Fusobacteriales; Fusobacteriaceae. The record is from RNAcentral.
GAUGAACGCUGACAGAAUGCUUAACACAUGCAAGUCUACUUGAAUUUGGGUUUUUAACUUAGGUUUGGGUGGCGGACGGGUGAGUAACGCGUAAAGAACUUGCCUCACAGCUAGGGACAACAUUUGGAAACGAAUGCUAAUACCUAAUAUUAUGAUAAUAGGGCAUCCUAUAAUUAUGAAAGCUAUAAGCGCUGUGAGAGAGCUUUGCGUCCCAUUAGCUAGUUGGAGAGGUAACGGCUCACCAAGGCGAUGAUGGGUAGCCGGCCUGAGAGGGUGAUCGGCCACAAGGGGACUGAGACACGGCCCUUACUCCUACGGGAGGCAGCAGUGGGGAAUAUUGGACAAUGGACCAAGAGUCUGAUCCAGCAAUUCUGUGUGCACGAUGAAGUUUUUCGGAAUGUAAAGUGCUUUCAGUUGGGAAGAAAAAAAUGACGGUACCAACAGAAGAAGUGACGGCUAAAUACGUGCCAGCAGCCGCGGUAAUACGUAUGUCACGAGCGUUAUCCGGAUUUAUUGGGCGUAAAGCGCGUCUAGGUGGUUAUAUAAGUCUGAUGUGAAAAUGCAGGGCUCAACUCUGUAUUGCGUUGGAAACUGUAUAACUAGAGUACUGGAGAGGUAAGCGGAACUACAAGUGUAGAGGUGAAAUUCGUAGAUAUUUGUAGGAAUGCCGAUGGGGAAGCCAGCUUACUGGACAGAUACUGACGCUGAAGCGCGAAAGCGUGGGUAGCAAACAGG